This 468-nucleotide ribosomal RNA is filed under the name uncultured bacterium. RNAcentral describes it as "partial 16S ribosomal RNA". It matches the Rfam family "Bacterial small subunit ribosomal RNA", at positions 28 to 507 of the family's 1533-position model. The record is from RNAcentral.
GACGAACGCUGGCGGCGUGCUUAACACAUGCAAGUCGAACGGAAAGGCCCUGCUUUUGUGGGGUGCUCGAGUGGCGAACGGGUGAGUAACACGUGAGUAACCUGCCCUUGACUUUGGGAUAACUUCAGGAAACUGGGGCUAAUACCGGAUAGGAGCUCCUGCUGCAUGGUGGGGGUUGGAAAGUUUCGGCGGUUGGGGAUGGACUCGCGGCUUAUCAGCUUGUUGGUGGGGUAGUGGCUUACCAAGGCUUUGACGGGUAGCCGGCCUGAGAGGGUGACCGGCCACAUUGGGACUGAGAUACGGCCCAGACUCCUACGGGAGGCAGCAGUGGGGAAUAUUGCACAAUGGGCGGAAGCCUGAUGCAGCAACGCCGCGUGCUGGAUGACGGCCUUCGGGUUGUAACCCGCUUUCGCCUGUGACGAAGCGUGAGUGACGGUAAUGGGUAAAGAAGCACCGGCUAACUACGUG